GGGGGAUUAGCUCAGCUGGAAGAGCGCUACGCUGGCAGCGUAGAGGUCACCGGUUCGAGCCCGGUAUCCUCCA
Molecule: transfer RNA, 73 nt
Filed under: Thermoleophilia bacterium
Lineage: Bacteria; Bacillati; Actinomycetota; Thermoleophilia
Description: tRNA-Ala
Rfam family: tRNA
About the family: Transfer RNA (tRNA) molecules are approximately 80 nucleotides in length. Their secondary structure includes four short double-helical elements and three loops (D, anti-codon, and T loops).
Source: RNAcentral